Molecule: unclassified non-coding RNA, 436 nt
Filed under: Hevea brasiliensis (rubber tree)
Lineage: Eukaryota; Viridiplantae; Streptophyta; Magnoliopsida; Malpighiales; Euphorbiaceae
Source: RNAcentral
GCAAAGAAAACAAAGCAUCAGCAUAGAAUAAAAGCAUCAGAUAAUUAGCUAAUUUAAUUACUAAUUAACUAUGAGGAACCCAUCUUCUUCAACUUCACCCAGCGCCAAGAAGACAACUGCUACACCAUGCUGUAGCAAAGUGGGAAUAAAGAGGGGCCCUUGGACUCCUGAGGAGGACGAGCUCCUGUCUAACUACAUCAAGAAGGAAGGCGCUGAACGUUGGCGUACGCUGCCAAAGAGGGCCGGGCUGCUUCGAUGUGGAAAGAGUUGUCGCCUCCGAUGGAUGAAUUAUCUCCGGCCGUCUGUUAAGAGAGGGCGUAUUGCUCCAGAUGAAGAAGAUCUUAUUCUUAGGCUGCAUAGGUUGCUCGGUAACAGGUGGUCUUUGAUAGCUGGAAGGAUUCCAGGACGCACGGAUAAUGAAAUCAAGAACUACUGG